RNAcentral lists this ribosomal RNA (459 nucleotides) under uncultured bacterium. Its description in RNAcentral is "partial 16S ribosomal RNA". It matches the Rfam family "Bacterial small subunit ribosomal RNA", at positions 338 to 795 of the family's 1533-position model. The record is from RNAcentral.
CCUACGGGUGGCAGCAGUGAGGAAUAUUGGUCAAUGGGCGGGAGCCUGAACCAGCCAAGCCGCGUGAAGGAAGAAGGCGCCAGGCGUCGUAAACUUCUUUUGUCGGUGAACAAAGGGCGCCACGUGUGGCGUUGUGAGUGUACCCGAAGAAAAAGCAUCGGCUAACUCCGUGACAGCAGCCGUCGUAAUACGGAGGAUGCGAGCGUUAUCCGGAUUUAUUGGGUUGAAAGGGUCCGUAGCGGUUCCGGAAAGUCAGCGGUAAAAGCCCGGAGCUCAACCCCGGCGAGCCGUUGAACCUGUCGGACUAGAGACGGCGAGAAGUACGCGGAAUGCGCGGUGUAGCGGUGAAAUGCAUAGAUAUCGCGCAGAACUCCGAUUGCGAAGGCAGCGUACCGGCGCCGGACUGACGCUGAGGCACGAAAGCGUGGGUAUCGAACAGGAUUAGAUACCCCUGUAGUC